AAAACAAAAAGAAACUAUCAACUCAACAUCUGACAUUCUCAAAAACGCCGCUCCUUCUCUCCUUCUACUUCACAGUCAUAUUGUUCUAUACUUUCCCGUCGCUUCCUUGCGUGGCCAUCGCCUCCGCAGCUUCAACCUUGGUACCGGCUAGAUUCUUGCAAUUGUGGAUUCAAAUGUUUUCUUGUCUGGAAGAAGAUGAUGAUGAUUGUUAGUCCUUGUAUGUAGGAGGUUUAAAUGAACCCA
This is a non-coding RNA of Jatropha curcas, 243 nucleotides long. The record is from RefSeq and is a predicted model, not a curated record. NCBI's taxonomy places the organism in Eukaryota, Viridiplantae, Streptophyta, Magnoliopsida, Malpighiales, Euphorbiaceae.